Microcebus murinus (gray mouse lemur) is the source of this 1172-nucleotide non-coding RNA. The record is from RefSeq and is a predicted model, not a curated record. NCBI's taxonomy places the organism in Eukaryota, Metazoa, Chordata, Mammalia, Primates, Cheirogaleidae.
CUCUAUGCUGUUUCUGGCCCGUGCUGAUGUAGCAUUUUUGAAAGCUUGAGAAUCCAAAUGCUAUGGGAGAGCUGGGAUUCAUUUCUCCCCCUUGGGGAAAAGCUGCAUCAUAGCUCUUGCCCAGGCAUUGCAUGCCCUGAUCCUUUAUGACUACCAAAGCCGCAUCUCUUCAUCAUGUGUAGCCUACAGGGGCAGGAGAAAGGGAGGGUGGACUAGAGAAAGGGAGGUCGGGAGAUAGCAAUGCCAAGGAAGAUACACUAUCCUCAGGCAUGGGAAGAUUUGUUUUAUGGUGUUGUCUCCAUUAGAAAGUCAUGUUAUCCAUGGGGAGAAAGAAAACAUCAAAAGAAAGAGACUCUUUCAAGCAAAAUUAUUCCCCACAUGCCCUGCUGGGUAACUAUGCAUGAAUUUAGGACAGUUUUCUGAUUUUUGUUUUUCUGAGAAUUGGUAUAAGGUAUAAAGAAAUCUAGAGAUUAAUUAAAUUAAAUAACAACCUAUGGAUAGGAGUUCUAGUUAUCAAAUUGGACAGGCUCCUUGUCUUCUUGGCUUUUUUUAUUUUCCUUUGGCAGUGGUUCACGCACUACCCCAUGUUUCAAACUGUAAAGCACUGUGUUGAGAUCUACUUAUUCACAAUUUGUGUUCUUUCAGCCUUGCCUAUCUUAUAGUUCAGUCAGUCCUGCAGUGAUCUCAACCCUUUUCCUAUUGGGCUCCUGCCAGGCUCACACAGGGACAUCUUGACAAUAUGGAGCAUCAGGACUAUGCUACACACCUUCUGCUUCUUAGGAGGCCCUUGGCAGGGGCCCCACGUGCAUGUACAACCUGGAAAUGCCUACGGUUUUUGUGCCUCACAACCUACCCUUGGAGCUGACAUGAAGCCCUCAAACCACAGUGCUGGGAAGAGCGGAAUGGAUGGUGGGACCCAACCACAAUUUCCUCUACAGUGACUAAACCUUGAGAAAGAUUCUCUAAAGUAGUUACUAGAUGAAAGGAGGAAAAGGCAUAGAAGAUGUGGAUGAUUGAGGAAAUGCAUAAAGAAGAACUCACUGGUAGCAGCUAGCUGUUUCUGAGUAGGAUGUUGAACCCACCUCUCUGGACGUCCACAGAGAUUCACUGAAGCCUGUGUAUAAACAUCAAGAAUAAUCUUAAAGUUAUUUGGAUGAUGGCAGAUGACUCCU